Molecule: transfer RNA, 70 nt
Filed under: Dipodomys ordii (Ord's kangaroo rat)
Lineage: Eukaryota; Metazoa; Chordata; Mammalia; Rodentia; Heteromyidae
Rfam family: tRNA
About the family: Transfer RNA (tRNA) molecules are approximately 80 nucleotides in length.
Source: Rfam by way of RNAcentral
GGGAAGGUGGCUCAGUGGUAGAGUGCUUGCCUUGCAUGCAGAAGGCUCUGGGUUCAAUUCCUCAUCACCA